CUACGGGGGGCAGCAGUAAGGAAUAUUGCGCAAUGGAGGCAACUCUGACGCAGCCAUGCCGCGUGCAGGAAGAAGGCCUUAUGGGUCGUAAACUGCUUUUAUUUAGGAAUAAACCCCCGAACGUGUUCGGGGCUGAAGGUACUAAACGAAUAAGCACCGGCUAACUCCGGGCCAGCAGCCGCGGUAAUACGGAGGGUGCAAGCGUUAUCCGGAUUUAUUGGGUUUAAAGGGUGCGCAGGCGGGCUAUUAAGUCAGUGGUGAAAUCCCGGGGCUCAACCCCGGAACUGCCAUUGAUACUGAUAGUCUUGAGUUUGGUUGAAGUGGGCGGAAUGUAGCAUGUAGCGGUGAAAUGCAUAGAUAUGCUACAGAACACCAAUCGCGAAGGCAGCUCACUAAGCCAAAACUGACGCUCGUGCACGAAAGCGUGGGGAUCAAACAGGAUUAGAUACCCUGGUAGUC
This 459-nucleotide ribosomal RNA is filed under the name uncultured bacterium. Its description in RNAcentral is "partial 16S ribosomal RNA". It matches the Rfam family "Bacterial small subunit ribosomal RNA", at positions 339 to 795 of the family's 1533-position model. The record is from RNAcentral.